UGUCGGUCUCACAGAUUCUAGUGCCGAGGAUCUCGUCUCCGCUCUCAGUACAAACCCAUCACUGACGGGGCUGAACCUGAUAUUAAACUCUCUGACAGACGAAUCUGUCCCCGGUCUCAGCCGCCUCAUACUGACCCUCCCGAGUCUGGAGUGGAUCUGGCUGUGGGGGAAUCGGUUCAGUGAGACCGGGAGGAAGGAACUGAGAUCUCUACAGGAACCCAGACAAGGACUGAUGGUGGAUCUGUGAACAUCUGAAUGUGGGGAAUCGGUUCAGUGAGACCGGGAUGAAGGAACUGAGAUCUCUACAGGAACCCAGACCCGGACUGAGAGUGGAUCUGUGAACAUCUGAAUGUGGUGAAUCGGUUCAGUGAGACCGGGGGGAAGGAACUGAGAUCUCUACAGGAACCCAGACCCGGACUGAUGGUGGAUCUGUGAACAUCUGAAUGUGGGGAAUCGGUUCAGUGAGACCGGGAUGAAGGAACUGAGAUCUCUACAGGAACCCAGACCCGGACUGAGAGUGGAUCUGUGAACAUCUGAAUGUGGGGAAUCGGUUCAGUAAGACCG
Hypanus sabinus (Atlantic stingray) is the source of this 564-nucleotide long non-coding RNA. RefSeq lists it as uncharacterized. The transcript is spliced from 2 exons. Lineage: Eukaryota; Metazoa; Chordata; Chondrichthyes; Myliobatiformes; Dasyatidae. The record is from RefSeq and is a predicted model, not a curated record.